GGCUCAGAUUGAACGCUGGCGGCAUGCCUUACACAUGCAAGUCGAACGGCAGCGCGGGAGCAAUCCUGGCGGCGAGUGGCGAACGGGUGAGUAAUACAUCGGAACGUGCCCAAUCGUGGGGGAUAACGCAGCGAAAGCUGUGCUAAUACCGCAUACGAUCUACGGAUGAAAGCAGGGGAUCGCAAGACCUUGCGCGAAUGGAGCGGCCGAUGGCAGAUUAGGUAGUUGGUGAGGUAAAGGCUCACCAAGCCUUCGAUCUGUAGCUGGUCUGAGAGGACGACCAGCCACACUGGGACUGAGACACGGCCCAGACUCCUACGGGAGGCAGCAGUGGGGAAUUUUGGACAAUGGGCGAAAGCCUGAUCCAGCCAUGCCGCGUGCAGGAUGAAGGCCUUCGGGUUGUAAACUGCUUUUGUACGGAACGAAACG
RNAcentral lists this ribosomal RNA (429 nucleotides) under Variovorax sp. RNAcentral describes it as "bacterial SSU rRNA". It matches the Rfam family "Bacterial small subunit ribosomal RNA", at positions 21 to 452 of the family's 1533-position model. The record is from RNAcentral. Lineage: Bacteria; Pseudomonadati; Pseudomonadota; Betaproteobacteria; Burkholderiales; Comamonadaceae.